RNAcentral lists this ribosomal RNA (1355 nucleotides) under uncultured bacterium. RNAcentral describes it as "bacterial SSU rRNA". It matches the Rfam family "Bacterial small subunit ribosomal RNA", at positions 18 to 1395 of the family's 1533-position model. The record is from RNAcentral.
CCUGGCUCAGGACGAACGCUGGCGGCGCGCCUAACACAUGCAAGUCGAACGAGAGAUGAGGAGCUUGCUCUUCAAAUCGAGUGGCGAACGGGUGAGUAACGCGUGAGGAACCUGCCUCAAAGAGGGGGACAACAGUUGGAAACGACUGCUAAUACCGCAUAAGCCCACGGCUCGGCAUCGAGCAGAGGGAAAAGGAGUGAUCCGCUUUGAGAUGGCCUCGCGUCCGAUUAGCUAGUUGGUGAGGUAAUGGCCCACCAAGGCGACGAUCGGUAGCCGGACUGAGAGGUUGAACGGCCACAUUGGGACUGAGACACGGCCCAGACUCCUACGGGAGGCAGCAGUGGGGAAUAUUGCACAAUGGGGGAAACCCUGAUGCAGCGACGCCGCGUGGAGGAAGAAGGUCUUCGGAUUGUAAACUCCUGUUGUUGAGGAAGAUAAUGACGGUACUCAACAAGGAAGUGACGGCUAACUACGUGCCAGCAGCCGCGGUAAAACGUAGGUCACAAGCGUUGUCCGGAAUUACUGGGUGUAAAGGGAGCGCAGGCGGGAGAACAAGUUGGAAGUGAAAUCCAUGGGCUCAACCCAUGAACUGCUUUCAAAACUGUUUUUCUUGAGUAGUGCAGAGUAGGCGGAAUUCCCGGUGUAGCGGUGGAAUGCGUAGAUAUCGGGAGGAACACCAGUGGCGAAGGCGGCCUACUGGGCACCAACUGACGCUGAGGCUCGAAAGUGUGGGUAGCAAACAGGAUUAGAUACCCUGGUAGUCCACACCGUAAACGAUGAUUACUAGGUGUUGGAGGAUUGACCCCUUCAGUGCCGCAGUUAACACAAUAAGUAAUCCACCUGGGGAGUACGACCGCAAGGUUGAAACUCAAAGGAAUUGACGGGGGCCCGCACAAGCAGUGGAGUAUGUGGUUUAAUUCGACGCAACGCGAAGAACCUUACCAAGUCUUGACAUCCCUUGACGAACAUAGAAAUAUGUUUUCUCUUCGGAGCAAGGAGACAGGUGGUGCAUGGUUGUCGUCAGCUCGUGUCGUGAGAUGUUGGGUUAAGUCCCGCAACGAGCGCAACCCUUAUGGUCAGUUACUACGCAAGAGGACUCUGGCCAGACUGCCGUUGACAAAACGGAGGAAGGUGGGGAUGACGUCAAAUCAUCAUGCCCUUUAUGACUUGGGCUACACACGUACUACAAUGGCGUUAAACAAAGAGAAGCAAGACCGCGAGGUGGAGCAAAACUCAGAAACAACGUCCCAGUUCGGACUGCAGGCUGCAACUCGCCUGCACGAAGUCGGAAUUGCUAGUAAUCGUGGAUCAGCAUGCCACGGUGAAUACGUUCCCGGGCCUUGUACACACCGCCC